This 516-nucleotide ribosomal RNA is filed under the name uncultured chicken cecal bacterium. Its description in RNAcentral is "bacterial SSU rRNA". It matches the Rfam family "Bacterial small subunit ribosomal RNA", at positions 8 to 521 of the family's 1533-position model. The record is from RNAcentral.
AGAGUUUGAUCCUGGCUCAGGAUGAACGCUGGCGGCGUGCCUAAUACAUGCAAGUCGGACGCAAUGCUUCGGCAUUGAGUGGCGAACGGGUGAGUAAUACAUAAGCAACCUGCCCCUGUGAGGGGGAUAACUGCUGGAAACGGCAGCUAAGACCGCAUAGGCAUACAUGACGCAUGUCGAGUAUGUUAAAUAUCCCACGGGAUAGCACAGGGAUGGGCUUAUGACGCAUUAGCUAGCUGGUGAGGUAGAGGCUCACCAGGGCGACGAUGCGUAGCCGGCCUGAGAGGGUGGACGGCCACACUGGGACUGAGACACGGCCCAGACUCCUACGGGAGGCAGCAGUAGGGAAUUUUCGGCAAUGGGCGAAAGCCUGACCGAGCAACGCCGCGUGAAGGAAGAAGUCAUUCGUGAUGUAAACUUCUGUUAUAAAGGAAGAACGGCGCCUGUAGGGAAUGACAGGCGAGUGACGGUACUUUAUGAGGAAGCCACGGCUAACUACGUGCCAGCAGCCGCGGU